GCGGACGUGGUGGAAUUGGUAUACACGCCAGCCUUAGGAGCUGGUGCCGCAAGGCAUGAGAGUUCAAGUCUCUCCGUCCGCA
RNAcentral lists this transfer RNA (82 nucleotides) under Ignavibacteria bacterium. RNAcentral describes it as "tRNA-Leu". It matches the Rfam family "tRNA". Rfam says of the family: Transfer RNA (tRNA) molecules are approximately 80 nucleotides in length. Their secondary structure includes four short double-helical elements and three loops (D, anti-codon, and T loops). Lineage: Bacteria; Pseudomonadati; Ignavibacteriota; Ignavibacteria. The record is from RNAcentral.